RNAcentral lists this ribosomal RNA (503 nucleotides) under uncultured bacterium. Its description in RNAcentral is "bacterial SSU rRNA". It matches the Rfam family "Bacterial small subunit ribosomal RNA", at positions 24 to 518 of the family's 1533-position model. The record is from RNAcentral.
UCAGGAUGAACGCUAGCGGCAGGCUUAACACAUGCAAGUCGAGGGGCAGCGUGGAGUAGCAAUACUCUGACGGCGACCGGCGAAAGGGUGAGUAACGCGUGAGCAACAUGCCCGUAGUUGGGGGAUAGUCGAUGGAAACGUCGCGUAAUACCCCGUAACAACAGAGGCCGCAUGACCUUUGUUUAAGAGAUUUAUUGUCUACGGAUUGGCUCGCGUACCAUUAGCUAGUUGGCGGGGUAACGGCCCACCAAGGCGACGAUGGUUAGGGGUUCUGAGAGGAAGGUCCCCCCACAUUGGAACUGAGACACGGUCCAGACUCCUACGGGAGGCAGCAGUGAGGAAUAUUGGUCAAUGGCCGAGAGGCUGAACCAGCCAUGCCGCGUGCGGGAUGAACCGGCCCUAUGGGUUGUAAACCGCUUUUGUUGGGGAGCAAUAAGGUUCACGUGUGGACUGAUGAGAGUACCCAGCGAAUAAGCAUCGGCUAACUCCGUGCCAGCAGCAGC